ACAUUCUAGCAUUCCAUAUUCCAAAGAUCUCACAUCUUUCUUACUUUAAAUAUAAUGGAUUCCUGACAUGAUACUCCUUGAGGGAGACAGUGAGUGAUAUCUCAGACCACAAAAGUGCAAUUCAAAACUGCAACUUCUCAUCUGGAAUUGAACCUGGAAAAUCAGACGUGUUUGGAAAACAUCUGUCCAUGGGAUUGGUGCUGGGAAGAGGCUCAAGAAGACAGAUGUUUCUUGUUCCUUAUGAAAUUGAGUAAAAAAAAAAAAAUUGCACACAGGCAUAAGGUAAGGGGUGGAGUUCACUGUACCUAGGUGUGGUUGGAGUUGAAUCCAAGUAAUCAAAUGGUGA
RNAcentral lists this long non-coding RNA (346 nucleotides) under Vulpes vulpes (red fox). RNAcentral describes it as "lncRNA (ENSVVUG00000020859.1)". The record is from RNAcentral. Lineage: Eukaryota; Metazoa; Chordata; Mammalia; Carnivora; Canidae.